UUCACUAGUUUAAAUAGUUCA
This 21-nucleotide non-coding RNA is filed under the name Caenorhabditis elegans. Lineage: Eukaryota; Metazoa; Nematoda; Chromadorea; Rhabditida; Rhabditidae. The record is from RNAcentral.